This 577-nucleotide long non-coding RNA is filed under the name Sus scrofa (pig). RNAcentral describes it as "lncRNA (ENSSSCG00070006435.1)". The record is from RNAcentral. Lineage: Eukaryota; Metazoa; Chordata; Mammalia; Artiodactyla; Suidae.
UACCACAGUGGGAACUCCUGAAAUAACAUGACUUCAUUUUAUUAGACAUGUCUCUUGAGUCAGAAAUUCCAUGCCUGGCAACUGUCAUCUUCUUGUUACUAUCUGUCGUGGUUUCCUUCACAUUUAUUUACGUGACUCUUUGUAAAUUUACUUUCCAGGAGAACUUCAGGAUGAAACAGACACUCUUCGGGAAAAAAACGGAGAACUUCAGGAUGAAACAGACACUCUUCGGAAAAAAAACGGUAAAUUUUCUGAUAUCCCAUUGCUCUUGAGCCCCUCCGAAGAGACUGGUUCAGCCUUUCAUCUUGUGUGCCGUUUCAUCUAUUUCGCUUCUGUCGGCAUGCCUUUCUCUUGCACGUCCUGUCUACGGGCUCCACCUCAAUGUUUUGCGUUGGACGUGUCCCACGUUCCUUCUGUCCAUUUCUGUUUGCCUACCUCCUCUGCUCUGCCAUUCCUUCUCUUUGCAAUGCAUGCCAUGCCCUCCCGGUAAGGACUGGCUUUGCUUCGGUCUUUCAGGCACUUGCCACAGUUUCAUGAAGAAGUUGGUGAGAUGCAAAGCAUUACGCUGAGAGGGAGA